Molecule: long non-coding RNA, 4652 nt
Organism: Nematostella vectensis (starlet sea anemone)
Lineage: Eukaryota; Metazoa; Cnidaria; Anthozoa; Actiniaria; Edwardsiidae
Exons: 2
Source: RefSeq, a predicted model, not a curated record
CACGCUAUUUUUGCCAUAUUAGGCCCCCUAAAAUCGUCCCAGCAUGCUGUUCGCUAUCAACUGACGAUCCUUUAAUCCUCCUCCCCCUUUCUAUUGCCACGCAACUGUGGUGCCACACAAAUACAGAAAAGGUUGCAACACAUGGUGUAAAGGCGGGUUUCCAUGGCUUCCAUAUUGUCGAUACGACCAAUGUAUUUAAGUUCCUGUCUGCUUCGAUGAACCGGCACCCUACCGAUUACAUGGAAAACAGCCAGAAAUUAGAUAAUAGCUUUAUUAUCCUAGUACAAGUUUAUUUUCUAUGCUUUUAACAGAAAAAAAAAAUAAGUAGGGUAGAAAUUAACGCGAAGCAAAGAUCAUAAGGCGAUUACGUGCUGUCUUCGUGACAGCUUUCUAAAAAUUAAGAAUAGUGAAUUAACGAUCUCACGGAAGGCUUAUUAAAAUGCCGAAAAGCGACGAACUAUCCAGCAGAUCAUACCACAAGCCUGACCAAGAGAUCAAGAGCCCGGGUGUCAGAGUCUCGCCAAAAGCGUCCAUCUCUGGCACCAGGGGUGGUCAUCAAUAUAUACGGGGGAUGUAACUGCGCUAACAAGCUGGUUGCCGCAAAAGGGAAAACACGUGAUUCACAAACGAUUGAAACGUGAUACCCCUACUCUCUACAGUUGGAAAACGUUCUCAAAAGUCAUAAAGAUACUUCAAGUCUGGCUAAAACCAAACCUCACUUAUUUCCUACUCAAAGUUCUAGCAGAAGUGACUCUCAUCUCUUCUAAUAAAACUAAGCGUGACCUGAUAAUCCCAAACGCUAAGUGGAAAAAAGUUAUCGAGCAGAACUAAGUCAUCAAUAGAGCAGAGAUUGCGAUGCUUAAAGUAGAUGUUUAGCGCAUAGAAGACUUAAGGGAGCAACUGGGAGAAAACAGCCCUUUUCUAUCGACACACAUCAAGGCCCGCUUGACGGCGGGCGGGCCUAUCACGCUCUACAUGGCUAUGACGUAACUGGCCCUUUAUGCUCAGCAUGAAGCGUCCGCCAUAUUGGAAAGUGUGAGUCUGCGCGCAAAGCAUCAUGGAGCUGACAUCAAGGGAGUAGCCUGGGGACGAGGCUAGACCUUAAUACUGAGGGUUUUAACGUCUCUUCUGAUUGGAAAAUCCAGUCUACAGUAUCUGGCAAGAACAGAACAACAUUGACAAGACACAUGUUGAUAUUGUUGUACGAACUGUAACAAUGCUGACUCAAGUUUAUGGUGGUAAAAUGUGCUUGCGAAAUUGCCGUGCACCAGAAUACGCCAUGGUCCGUGACGAACAGGGUUGUUUGUACUAACAAACAACCACAGUCAAAUAAAAGCACUAACCAGCCAUAUGACAAAAGUAUUAACCAAUAAUGAUUCAAAGUUGCAAGAAUUGAAAGCACGGUAACAAAUGCGAUCAAAAUUCUAACCAAACACAACAUACUAACCAAUCACAGCACAUUGUAACAUACUAACCAAUUACAGCACAUUGUAACAUACUAACCAAUUACAGCACAUUGUAACAUACUAACCAAUCACAGCACAUUGUAACAUACUAACCAAUCACAGCACAUUGUAACAUACUAACCAAUCACAGCACAUUGUAACAUACUAACCAAUCACAGCACAUUGUAACAUACUAACCAAUCACAGCACAUUGUAACAUACUAACCAAUCACAGCACAUUGUAACAUACUAACCAAUCUCAGCCUAUCAUAAAUUACUAACCAAUCACAGCGUACCAUAACAUACUAAAAAAUCACAGUGUACCAUAAAAUACAAACCAAUUACGUACUAAGCCAUCACAGCAUGCUAUAACAUACUAACCAAUCACAGCGUACGCUAACCUACUUAACAAUACCUGCGUUCCAUAAUAUACUAACCAAUCACAGCGAACACUAACAUACUAAAUAAUCACAGUGUACCCUAAAAUACUAACCAAUAACAGCGUACCCUUAGAUACUAACCAAUCACAGUGCACCAUAACAUACUAACCAAUCACAGCGUACCAUAACAUACUAUCCAAUCACAUCAUAACAUAACAUGAUAACUAAUCACAGCGUCACUAACAUGCUAACUAAUCACAACGUGCUAUUACAUACUAACCAAUAACAGCGUACCCUAAUAUACUAACCAAUCACAGCGUAUAAUUACGUACUAACCAAUCACAGCGUACCAUAACAUACUAAUCAAUCACUGCUUACCAAAAAAAAUUCUAACCAAUCACAGUGUACCCUACCAUACUAACCAAUUACUGUUCACCAUAAUAUACUAACCAAUCACAGCGUACCCUAACAUACUAACCAAUCACAGCGUACUCUAACAUACUAACCAGUCACAGCGUAUAAUUACGUACUAACCAAUCACAGUAUACCAUAACAUACUAACCAAUCACAGCGUACCCUAACAUACUAACCAGUCACAGCGUAUACUUACGUACUAACCAAUCACAGUAUACCAUAACAUACUAACCAAUCACAGAGUACCCUAACAUACUAACCAGUCACAGCGUAUAAUUACGUACUAACCAAUCACAGUAUACCAUAACAUACUAACCAAUCACAGCGUACCCUAACAUACUAACCAGUCACAGCGUAUAAUUACGUACUAACCAAUCACAGUAUACCAUAACAUACUAACCAAUCACAGCGUACUCUAACAUACUAACCAGUCACAGCGUAUAAUUACGUACUGACCAAUCACAGUAUACCAUAACAUACUAACCAAUCACAGCGUACCCUAACAUACUAAUCAGUCACAGCGUAUAAUUACGUACUAACCAAUCACAGCGUACCAUAACAUACUAACCAAUCACAGUGUACCCUAACAUACAAACCAAUCACAGCUUACCCUUAUAUACUAACCAGUCACAGCGUAUAAUUACGUACUAACCAAUCACAGCUUACCCUAACAUACCAACCAAUCACAGUAUACCAUAACAUACUAACCAAUCACAGCGAACCCUAACAUACUAACCAGUCACAGCGUAUAAUUACGUACAAACCAAUCACAGUAUACCAUAACAUACUAACCAAUCACAGCGUACCCUAACAUACUAACCAGUCACAGCGUAUAAUUACGUACUAACCAAUCACAGUAUACCAUAACAUACUAACCAAUCACAGCGUACCCUAACAUACUAACCAGUCACAGCGUAUAAUUACGUACUAACCAAUCACAGUAUACCAUAACAUACUAACCAAUCACAGCGUAUAAUUGCGUACUAACCAAUCACAGCGUACCAUAACAUACUAACCAAUCACAGUGUACCCUAACAUACAAACCAAUCACAGCUUACCCUUAUAUACUAACCAGUCACAGCGUAUAAUUACGUACUAACCAAUCACAGCGUACCCUAACAUACCAACCAGUCACAGCGUACCUUAACAUACUAACCGAUCACAGCGUAUCCUAACAUACUAAGCAAGUCACUGCAUUCCAUAACAUAAUAACCAAUCACAAUGUGGCCUAUCAUUCUAACCAAUCACAGUGUACCAUGACAUACUGACCAAUCACUGCGUUCCAUAAAUUACUAACCAGUCACAGUGUACCCUAAAAUACUAACCAAUCACAGUGUACCCUAACAUAAUAACCAGUCACAGCGUACCCUAACAUACUAACCAAUCACAGAGUAUCCUAACAUACUAUAACAAAUAUCUGCGUUCAAUAAUAUACUAACCAAUCACAGCAUGCUAUAACAUAAUAACCAAUCAGAGCGUAUCCUAAUAUACUAACCAAUCACAGUGUGCCCUAAAAUUCUAACCAAUCACAAUGUAUCCUAACUUCAAAACUAAUCACAGCGUACCCUAACAUACUAACCAAUCACUGCGUACCUUAACAUAAUAACCAAUCACAGUGUACCUUAAGAUAUUAACCAAUCACAGCGUGCUAAAACAUACUAACCAAUCAUUGCGUUCCAUAAUAUACUAACCAAUGACUGCGUUCCAUAAUAUACAAACCAAUCACAGUGUACCCUAACAUACACUAACCAAUCUAUCAUGUACAAACCAAUCACAGCGUGCCUCAAAAUAGCAACGAAUAACAUACACUAGCAUACUAACCAACCACAGCCUGUCUUGACAAAUUAACCAACCAUAGCGCCUCAUAACAUACUAGCCAAUCACAACGUGCCAUACAGGGCCGUAGCAGGCGGUGGGGCACUGGGGGUACGUUACCCCCCAAUUUUUUGAAAAAUUCUAAGGAAACGACCAGUAGGGGCGUGGCUGUGCCCCCAAAAUUUUCUUAUUGUUUCUGUAUUGUGCCCCCAAAUAUUUCGAGGCCUGCUACAGCACUGCAAAUCACAGCGUACUAUAACAUACUAGCCAAUCACAACAUACCAUAUCAUACAAGCCAAUCACAACGUACCACAACAUACUAACCAAUCACAGUGAAAAAAUAGAAUACAUGGCCGUAAGUAGUUGGGGUGGAGGUAGAGAGCCUCUCCCGUGUCCCUCCCAGAAGAGUCAAAAUCUUACGAAAUACAUAAGGAAAGAGGGAGUGUCUGUCCCCUAACAAAAGGAAGGCCUGAAUGAGGCUUACAAAAUACUCUAGCUACGGCCUACGCAAACUACCUGACGCUCUUAAAGUUCCUUUUAUUCACAUGAUAAUAUCACGUUAUCAAAAUAAAGAUGUAUAUCAUAAGGACAAUCAAAA